Canis lupus familiaris (dog) is the source of this 582-nucleotide long non-coding RNA. RefSeq lists it as uncharacterized. The transcript is spliced from 4 exons. Lineage: Eukaryota; Metazoa; Chordata; Mammalia; Carnivora; Canidae. The record is from RefSeq and is a predicted model, not a curated record.
UGUAAAUGAGUGAUCAGAAAUACAUACUAUUCUUGUAAAAUGUCUCAAAAUACCUGAUUACACUGUCAGUGUUAACAUCUUUUAAAACAGUAGUCAUGGCCUAUAAAAGAUGCCUAGGUGUUUAUCUAUGUCAUGUGUGGAUAGCACCCAGAUAAAUCUCAGGAAAAAUGUAUAUGAAAUGGUCAGUGUGUUAGCGAUUAUUGAUAUGGAGUGUUCACCUGAAUGGUGAGCAUGAACAGAAGCAUGCUUGUGCCAACAAAGAAGAAAGAAGUUCACCUGGAUGUAGCUCAGCUGGCAAGUCCUGAAUAUGAGUAUCCAUGGAGAGAAUCCAAACAUAGGUGAUGUCAACAGUGAGAAAAGAGGAAGUAAGAUGUGAUUUGAUGACUGACAUAUUCAUCACCUGAUCACUUGAAUGAAGUUCCACUGUUCAAUAUGUUCUAACAGAGCCUCUAAAACCAGACUCCAUCCUCAUUUUUGAAUCAAGACUCACUUCAACACAGUCAUUUGCUCUCUCUUUGAAGUUUUUUCUUUCCUGUGAGCAUCCCCCCUCAAGAUCACAUUCAAAAAAUACUUCUACUUCUC